Molecule: unclassified non-coding RNA, 355 nt
Filed under: soil metagenome
Description: partial contains 5.8S ribosomal RNA, internal transcribed spacer 2, and large subunit ribosomal RNA
Rfam family: 5.8S ribosomal RNA (bases 1-120)
Source: RNAcentral
GAUGAAGAACGUAGCGAAAUGCGAUAAGUAAUGUGAAUUGCAGAAUUCAGUGAAUCAUCGAAUCUUUGAACGCACAUUGCGCCCAUUAGUAUUCUAGUGGGCAUGCCUGUUCGAGCGUCAUUAAGUCCACUUAAGCCCUGCUUAGUGUUGGGAGACUGCUCCAGCGGUGCUACCCUGUAGCUACCCUGCAGCUCCUCAAAGACAGCGGCGGAGUUGUGGUAUCCUCUGAGCUUAGUAACUUGUUCUAGCUUUCGAGUACACCACUUCCCCUGCCGUAAAACCCUUAAUUUUUAAUGGUUGACCUCGGAUCAGGUAGGAAUACCCGCUGAACUUAAGCAUAUCAAUAAGCGGAAGA